This 70-nucleotide ribosomal RNA is filed under the name Streptomyces sp. NRRL F-5122. RNAcentral describes it as "partial 23S ribosomal RNA". Lineage: Bacteria; Bacillati; Actinomycetota; Actinomycetes; Kitasatosporales; Streptomycetaceae. The record is from RNAcentral.
AUAGGCCGGAUCUGGAAGCACGGUAACGUGUGGAGGUGACCGGUACUAAUAGGCCGAGGGCUUGUCCAUA